Oryza glumipatula is the source of this 192-nucleotide non-coding RNA. NCBI's taxonomy places the organism in Eukaryota, Viridiplantae, Streptophyta, Magnoliopsida, Poales, Poaceae. The record is from Rfam.
UAUAAGUGCAGUUGUGGUUUUUCAUGUCCAACGUUUGACCGUAUGUUUUAUUUGAAAAAAAUAUGAUUAGUAUUUUUAUUGUUAUUAGAUGAUAAAACAUGUGUGACUAAUUUUUUUUAAAAAAAUUCAUAAAAUUUUAAAAUAAAAUGGACGGUCAAACUUUGGAUACAGAAGCACACAACUGCACUUAUA